Molecule: transfer RNA, 84 nt
Filed under: Paragonimus heterotremus
Lineage: Eukaryota; Metazoa; Platyhelminthes; Trematoda; Plagiorchiida; Troglotrematidae
Rfam family: tRNA
About the family: Transfer RNA (tRNA) molecules are approximately 80 nucleotides in length. Their secondary structure includes four short double-helical elements and three loops (D, anti-codon, and T loops). Further hydrogen bonds mediate the characteristic L-shaped molecular structure. tRNAs have two regions of fundamental functional importance: the anti-codon, which is responsible for specific mRNA codon recognition, and the 3' end, to which the tRNAs corresponding amino acid is attached (by aminoacyl-tRNA synthetases). tRNAs cope with the degeneracy of the genetic code in two manners: having more than one tRNA (with a specific anti-codon) for a particular amino acid; and 'wobble' base-pairing, i.e. permitting non-standard base-pairing at the 3rd anti-codon position.
Source: Rfam by way of RNAcentral
CCGACGGUAGCUCAGCUGGUAGAGCGGAGGACUGUAGAUGUCGCAGAUAUCCUUAGGUCGGUGGUUCGAGUCCGCCCCGUCGGA